Molecule: long non-coding RNA, 807 nt
Filed under: Monodelphis domestica (gray short-tailed opossum)
Lineage: Eukaryota; Metazoa; Chordata; Mammalia; Didelphimorphia; Didelphidae
Description: lncRNA (ENSMODG00000033805.2)
Source: RNAcentral
CUAAUCAGAGAACAGAAUAACUUUCUGACCAUGAGUUUUCAAUAUCCUUAAAUAUUAAACUCCAACUCCCUGUAGAAAAAGAAAAAGGAAGAGGGAAUCAACAAAAAAUAUGGGAAGAGACUCAAUUGGGAUAUGUUCACAGAAGACACAAUGUGUAUCAAAAGAAAUAUACCUGAUUGGAAUGCAUGACUGGAACUAAGUGAUAAAGAAUCAAACUCAAGGUGACAAAUCUGGACUGGAAGAUGACUUUGAUCCACAAAAGUGGAAAUACUGAGCUAAGAUAUUAAGUAACCCAAACAUCCUGGAGGACAGUAAUGGCAUAAUACCUGAAGAGCAGUUCAAAGUCUUUCAUCCAUUCUACAAGUGCCCAUGUGGCAGCCCUGAUAUUGAACAGCUGGACAGAUUGCACCCUGGAGCCACAUCUGCAGCUAUAUACAUCAACACCACUUUCAUUGCUUUGGUGCUGAAGAAGUUUAACUUCUGUCAGUGAGAUUUACUACCUUUUUCAUGAAUUGUUAAGAGUUUUUUCCUCCUCAACAUACACUUUUCCAUCUCUCUUACCUUAUUUGGUUCUCCAAUCAUGUUAGUAUUAUCUGAUACUUAAUGUAAACAGCUUGUUAUUUAACCUAUUUAUUUAACCCUUCUUAUGGUUAAUUAGGAUUUGAAGGAGGUCUCAUAAAGAAACAUUAAAUGCUAAAAUGAGUGACAUAAGUUAAAAAAGGGAAAGAUUCAAUAGUUAAAUAGACAAUAAGAGGAUAAAUCAGAGAUAUAGAAUCAAAGAGACCAUUAGAGUCUUUUCCCUUUUUC